Molecule: non-coding RNA, 43 nt
Filed under: Otolemur garnettii (small-eared galago)
Lineage: Eukaryota; Metazoa; Chordata; Mammalia; Primates; Galagidae
Source: RNAcentral
CAGCCCAGUCCUGCUCCCGCCCCAGCAGCACACUGUGGUUUGU